GCCCGCCUCACGGCCGCCGGGGGGCUUCUGCCCCCGGGCCCGCGCCUGCCGGAGACAAUCUUGAACGCUGUCUGAAGAAUGCAGUCUGAGCGAUUAAGCAAAAUUAGUUAAAACUUUCAACAACGGAUCUCUUGGUUCCGGCAUCGAUGAAGAACGCAGCGAAAUGCGAUAAUUAAUGUGAAUUGCAGAAUUCAGUGAAUCAUCGAGUCUUUGAACGCACAUUGCGCCCCCUGGUAUUCCGGGGGGCAUGCCUGUCCGAGCGUCAUUGCUGCCCUCAAGCCCGGCUUGUUUGUUGGGUCUUGUUCCUCCGGGAACAGGCCCGAAAGGCAGUGGCGGCACCGUCCGAUCCUCGAGCGUAUGGGGCUUUGUCACCCGCUCUGUAGGCCCGGCCGGCGCUUGCCGACCCCCAUCAAUCUUUUUUCAGGUUGACCUCGGAUCAGGUAGGGAUACCCGCUGAACUUAAGCAUAUCAAUAAGCGGAGGAA
This 484-nucleotide ribosomal RNA is filed under the name Penicillium sclerotiorum. RNAcentral describes it as "eukaryotic LSU rRNA". The stretch from base 112 to 265 matches the Rfam family "5.8S ribosomal RNA". The record is from RNAcentral. Lineage: Eukaryota; Fungi; Ascomycota; Eurotiomycetes; Eurotiales; Aspergillaceae.